GAUGAACGCUAGCUACAGGCUUAACACAUGCAAGUCGAGGGGCGGCACAGUGUAGCAAUACAUGGGUGGCGACCGGCGCACGGGUGCGUAACGCGUAUCCAACCUUCCCGUUACUCUUGGAUAGCCUUCCGAAAGGGAGAUUAAUACAGGAUGGUGUUCAAAUUCCGCAUGUUAUUUGAACUAAAGAUUUAUCGGUAACGGAUGGGGAUGCGUGACAUUAGAUAGUAGGCGGGGUAACGGCCCACCUAGUCUACGAUGUCUAGGGGGUUCUGAGGAGGAAGGUCCCCCCACACUGGAACUGAGACACGGUCCAGACUCCUACGGGAGGCAGCAGUGAGGAAUAUUGGUCAAUGGUCGGAAGACUGAACCAGCCAAGUAGCGUGAAGGAUGAAGGUUCUAUGGAUUGUAAACUUCUUUUAUACGGGAAUAAAACCACCUACGUGUAGGUGCUUGUAUGUACCGUAUGAAUAAGCAUCGGCUAACUCCGUG
Molecule: ribosomal RNA, 489 nt
Filed under: uncultured bacterium
Lineage: Bacteria
Description: bacterial SSU rRNA
Rfam family: Bacterial small subunit ribosomal RNA
Source: RNAcentral